Molecule: ribosomal RNA, 334 nt
Filed under: uncultured Anaerolineaceae bacterium
Lineage: Bacteria; Bacillati; Chloroflexota; Anaerolineae; Anaerolineales; Anaerolineaceae
Description: bacterial SSU rRNA
Rfam family: Bacterial small subunit ribosomal RNA
Source: RNAcentral
CAGUGCUGCAUGGCUGUCGUCAGCUCGUGUCGUGAGAUGUUCGGUUAAGUCCGCUAACGAGCGCAACCCUCGCUGUGUGUUACAAGUGUCACACGGAACUGCCGGUCAUAAACCGGAGGAAGGUGGGGAUGACGUCAAGUCAGCAUGGCCUUUAUAUCCUGGGCUACACACACGCUACAAUGGGAAGGGACAAUAGGUUGCGAAGCCGCGAGGCGGAGCCAAUCCAGCAAAACUUCCCUCAGUUCAGAUUGCAGGCUGCAACCCGCCUGCAUGAAGUUGGAGUUGCUAGUAAACGCAGGUCAGCCAUACUGCGUUGAAUACGUUCCCGGGGCUU